GACGAACGCUGGCGGCGUGCUUAACACAUGCAAGUCGAACGGAAAGGCCCUGCUUUUGUGGGGUGCUCGAGUGGCGAACGGGUGAGUAACACGUGUGUAACCUGCCCUUGACUUUGGGAUAACUUCAGGAAACUGGGGCUAAUACCGGAUAGGAGCUCCUGCUGCAUGGUGGGGGUUGGAAAGUUUCGGCGGUUGGGGAUGGACUCGCGGCUUAUCAGCUUGUUGGUGGGGUAGUGGCUUACCAAGGCUUUGACGGGUAGCCGGCCUGAGAGGGUGACCGGCCACAUUGGGACUGCGAUACGGCCCAGACUCCUACGGGAGGCAGCAGUGGGGAAUAUUGCACAAUGGGCGGAAGCCUGAUGCAGCAACGCCGCGUGCGGGAUGACGGCCUUCGGGUUGUAAACCGCUUUCGCCUGUGACGAAGCGUGAGUGACGGUAAUGGGUAAAGAAGCACCGGCUAACUACGUG
Molecule: ribosomal RNA, 468 nt
Filed under: uncultured bacterium
Lineage: Bacteria
Description: partial 16S ribosomal RNA
Rfam family: Bacterial small subunit ribosomal RNA
Source: RNAcentral